GAUCCUGGCUCAGGGUGAACGCUAGCGACAGGCUUAACACAUGCAAGUCGAGGGGCAGCGGGGUGUAGCAAUACACCGCCGGCGACCGGCGCACGGGUGAGUAACACGUAUCCAACCUCCCGCAUACUCGGGAAUAGCCUUUCGAAAGAAAGAUUAAUGCCCGAUGGUUUCAAGGGAUUGCAUGGUAUCUUGAAUAAAGAUUCAUCGGUAUGCGAUGGGGAUGCGUUCCAUUAGGCAGUUGGCGGGG
Molecule: ribosomal RNA, 247 nt
Filed under: uncultured bacterium
Lineage: Bacteria
Description: partial 16S ribosomal RNA
Rfam family: Bacterial small subunit ribosomal RNA
Source: RNAcentral